UACGGAGGGAGCUAGCGUUGUUCGGAAUUACUGGGCGUAAAGCGCACGUAGGCGGCUUUUUAAGUCAGGGGUGAAAUCCCAGAGCUCAACUCUGGAACUGCCUUUGAUACUGGAUGUCUUGAGUGUGAGAGAGGUAUGUGGAACUCCGAGUGUAGAGGUGAAAUUCGUAGAUAUGCGGAGGAACACCAAUGGCGAAGGCGACCACCUGGACUGAUACUGACACUGAGGUGCGAAAGCGUGGGGAGCAAACAGG
RNAcentral lists this ribosomal RNA (253 nucleotides) under uncultured bacterium. RNAcentral's name for it is "partial 16S ribosomal RNA". It matches the Rfam family "Bacterial small subunit ribosomal RNA", at positions 524 to 776 of the family's 1533-position model. The record is from RNAcentral.